This is a non-coding RNA of Caenorhabditis elegans, 221 nucleotides long. Lineage: Eukaryota; Metazoa; Nematoda; Chromadorea; Rhabditida; Rhabditidae. The record is from Ensembl.
UUCUUCCAAAGACUCUUCAUUUCAGUCCCCGGAGACCGAUAGUCGGCCCAUCAGGCGCUCUUUGAACCGCCCGGAAAGCGUGAAAGCGAGAAGAUCUUCUCUGCUGUUUCACGCCCUUUUUCUGCUUCUUCGUCCCUUUUAGAGAUGCAUUUUCAACCCCGAAACAUAUAUCCCCCUCCCCUUCCAACAUCUUUCUGUGGGUGUGUAUAUAUGUAUGCUCU